This 226-nucleotide unclassified non-coding RNA is filed under the name uncultured fungus. RNAcentral's name for it is "partial contains 18S rRNA, ITS1, 5.8S rRNA, ITS2 and 28S rRNA". The record is from RNAcentral. Lineage: Eukaryota; Fungi.
AAGGAUCAUUAUCGUGGGGCUUCGGCCCCGUCGAGAAAGCACCCUUGCCUUUAUCGUACCUUGGGAUAGACCCGCCCCCGGAUCUCCGGGGUGUGGGGUGACCAUGUCCAUUUUCCUCGGCCGCGUUCGCGGCCAAUGGGGAACACAAAACACCCUGCAACCACCUGUACCUGUCUGAUAAAACAAACAAAAAUCAAAACUUUCAACAACGGAUCUCUUGGUUCUG